This is a non-coding RNA of Danio rerio (zebrafish), 1412 nucleotides long. Lineage: Eukaryota; Metazoa; Chordata; Actinopteri; Cypriniformes; Danionidae. The record is from RefSeq and is a predicted model, not a curated record.
AAAAAAAAUUGUGAUACGAACCGAAUCGUGGGUCAAAAAUCGUGAUACGAACCGAAUCGUGGGUUUGGUGUAUCGUUACAGCCCUAUUGAUUAGAGUAAUUAAAUGGUUUAAAGUUAUUUGAAAGGUUGAAACAAAAUCUGUUAUCUUGUUAUUUUUAAAUCAACAGGAGCGGUUUAAAUCAAGAUUGGCAAAUUUGCAUCAACAUCACCAAGACUGCUUUAACCGCUUUAACGAAGCAGAAAGUAAAUUAAGACAAAAGACUUGCCUACAAAAAUCAAAGCAUUCGUUCAUCACCUGCAACAGCAACACUCACAUCAUCUCCAUCCUGUCCUGAGCAACCUACAUCAUGUGCAACUGCAACACUCAUGACAUCUUCAUACUCUCCUGAGCAGCGUUCAUCACCUGCAACAGCAACACUCACAUCAUCUCCAUCCUGUCCUGAGCAACCUACAUCAUGUGCAACUGCAACACUCAUGACAUCUUCAUACUCUCCUGAGCAGCGUUUAUCACCUGCAACAGCAACACUCAAAACAUUCUGUUCAGCAAAGAGUCUAUAAUGAAUUCUGUUUUGAUUCUCCUUUUACUCCUACUUCAUAAAAACAUUUUACUACAUGAAAAAAAAAAAAAAAAAAGUUAACGGUACAAUUUUUCCAUUGUGUUUUAUUUGUUCUGGUCAGUGUAUACAUAAUGCAACUUUGAAAAUAGGUAAUUACUGAUUUACAUUUAACCCAUUUAAUUAACUUUUUAUAGUUUUUUUGUGAUUGGCUAAAACAUUCAUUUAGAUUUAGAAAUUUUGAGUGAUUAAGGCAGACAUUUUAAAUAUGCAAGCUUUUAUUGAGCAAUGUUGUUCUAUAGAUUUUAGAUAUUUCUUUAGGUAGUUUUGCCCAAAUUAGUUUUGAAUUAGGAAACUCAAGGUAUCAGCACCAAAUUAUCUACUAAUGAACGGGUCUGGAUUGGAUCCGGAUAAGCUACUUCAUCAAUGGGUUCUGGUCUAGAUUGGAUCCGGGCCGGAUGAGCUAGUCUAUCAGCGGGUCUGGAUCGGAUCUGCGCCGGAUGAGCUACUCUAUCAGCGGGUCUGGAUUGGAUCCGAGCUGGAUGAGCUACUCUAUUAACGGGUCCGGAUCGGAUCCGGAUGAAGAGCUUUAUUAGCGGAUACGGGUAACGUCUGAAAUGGGUCCGGAACGGAUACAGAAUUCUUAUCCGUUCCGGAUCCGUUGCGCUGUGCAAGUAGACUCCAGUACAGACCCAUUUGCGGACCCGUUUCUGUUGCGGAUCAUGUAAUACCUCCGGCGCGGAUCUGUUCCGGAGUCAUUUUGAUAUCUGGAAAACCUUUAGGCAGCAGUAAGCCUCACAAAUACUUAAAAUUGAUUGACUUAAACUGCUUGAACUUUAUUAAAACUGUUAGCACUAA